AAAUCCUCGUCCGUGGGCAGAUAUCACACACGAUUGCGCAACAUCCCAUGCUAUAAAAGCCUCUGCAUUUCGCAAACAAGCGCUGAAACCAGAAGCUCAGCAUGACUCAGACGCGGGAAGAGCUCCUCGACGAUGAUCUCGAACAGACAGAGAUGGAUCCUGAUGAGCCUGUUGUUGAAGAUGAAGCUGAUGAUGACAACGAUGACGACGAUGAUGACAAAGAUGAAGAAGAAGAAGAGGGCCAGGAUGAGUAUGAAAAGGAUGGGUUUAUAGUGGAUGAUGUGGAUGAAGAAGAAGAACAGGACGAGGAGGAAGAUGACAGGGGAAGUGAUGAAGAGGUGAAACAUAAGAGGAAAAAGAGGAGGAAGAGAGAAUCUGAGAACUAUCUCCUGGACGAAGAUGACUAUGUGUUGCUUCAGGACAACAAUAUUACGGGGUUUCACCGGCCCAAACCUGGGAGCAAAAAGUUUAAACGUUUGAAAAAAGCUGGGAGGGAUACUGAGCGAGAAGAAGGAUCUGGAUUUUCCGAUGGAGAAGAAGUUGAUAGAAGUGGUCACAGUGCCCGGACUGAUGAGGAAAAACUUAAGCACAGCUUAUUUGGUGAUGAUGAAGGGGCAGCACUUGAGGAUAUUGCCGAAGAGGAGGAACAGCCAGAAGAAGAGGAUGGGGAUAUUGGUGAAGAUGAUGAGAUGGCAGAUUUUAUUGUGGAUGAAGAAGAAGUUGAUGACAAUGGCGCUCCUGUGAGGAGGAGGAAACCAAUUAAAAAGAAGUCAAGGCAAGCACCUGGUGUGUCCUCAUCUGCAUUACAGGAAGCUCAUGACAUAUUUGGGGAUGUUGAUGAACUCCUACUGCUUCGCAAGCGAGGUCUUCAGAAAGGUGGCAGUUAUGAUGAUUCUGGAGAGUGGAGGGAAAAGAGGCUUGAGGAUGAAUUUGAACCCUCUAUUCUUGCGGAGAAGUAUAUGACUGAAAAGGAUGAUCGGAUACGAGAAAUUGAUGUGCCUGAGAGGAUCCAGUUAUCUGAAGAAGUUACUGGCCCUGUUCCGACAGAUGACACAAGCAUAGAAGAAGAGAGCACCUGGAUAUAUAACCAGCUUACUACCUCUGAUGGUUCCCCAUUUUUUGGCAACAUGCAUCUUGUGGACGAAAUUAACAAGGAAGACAUUGGAAAUGUAUUAGGGAUGCUACAUGUCCAGAAGUUUGAUAUUCCUUUUAUUGCUACUUAUCGGAAGGAGCUCUGCCUUAGCCUACUGAAAGACCCUGAGCAAGAUUUGGCAGAUGGUGAAGAUAGAGCUGAGAGAAUGCCUAAGCUGAAGUGGCACAAGAAACUUUGGGCUGUCCAGAACCUUGAUAAAAAGUGGUUGCUACUUCAAAAGCGGAAGAAUGCUCUUCAGUUGUACUACAAUAAGCGCUUUCAGGAAGAAGCUCGAAGGAUUGACGAUGAGACGAGGCUUGCAUUGAAUCAGCAGCUUUUCAACUCUAUUCUUGAGUCUCUUAAGGUUGCUGAAUCUGAAAGAGAGGUUGAUGAUGUUGAUGCAAAGUUUAAUUUGCAUUUCCCUCCAGGUGAAGUGGAAGUGGAAGAAGGGCAGUUUAAGAGGCCAAAACGAAAAUCUCUGUAUAGUAUUUGCAGUAAGGCUGGUCUAUGGGAGGUAGCAAACAAAUUCGGGUUUAGUUCAGAACAAUUUGGGUUGCUCCUAAACCUGGAAAAGAUGCGGGUGGAUGAAUUGGAAGAUGCCAAGGAAACUCCUGAUGAAAUAGCUGCGAACUUUACAUGCGCGAUGUUUGAGACUCCUCAAGAUGUGCUCAAAGGUGCCAGGCACAUGGCGGCAGUAGAGAUCAGCUGUGAGCCAUCUGUCAGGAAACAUGUUCGCAGUAUAUUCAUGGAGAAAGCUGUGGUCUCAACUAGUCCUACACCUGAUGGGAAAACUGCAAUAGAUUAUUUUCAUCAGUUCGCAACUGUCAAGUGGUUGGAUGAGAAGCCAUUCUAUCGAUUCAAAGAUGCACAGUGGCUUCUUAUCCAAAAAGCAGAAGAAGAGAAACUCCUUCAGGUUACCAUAAAAUUGCCAGAAAAUGUUCAAACUAAGUUAAUAAGUGAUUCAAAUGAUUAUUACAUCAGUGAUGGAGUUAGUAAGUCUGCUCAGCUUUGGAACGAGCAGCGGAAGUUGAUAUUGAAGGACGCUUUCUUUAGUUUUCUUCUUCCUUCAAUGGAAAAGGAAGCCCGAUCCCUCUUGACGGCAAGAGCCAAGAACUGGCUGCUUAUGGAAUAUGGGAAACAGUUGUGGAAUAGAGUAUCUGUUGCACCAUAUCAGCGGAAGGACACUGAUGCUGGCUCUGAGGAUGAUGCUGCACCAAGGGUCAUGGCCUGUUGUUGGGGCCCUGGAAAGCCAGCAACUACUUUUGUGAUGUUGGAUUCAUCUGGAGAAAUGCUGGAUGUGUUGUAUACAGGGUCCCUCAGUCUUCGCUCUCCAAGUGCUAACGAGCAGCAGCGCAAGAAAAAUGACCAACAACGUCUAUUGAAGUUUAUGACAGACCACCAGCCUCAUGUUGUCAUUUUGGGAGCAGUGAAUUUGAAUUGUAAACGUCUGAAGGAUGACAUCUAUGAGGUCAUUUUUAAAAUAGUCGAGGAGCAUCCUAGAGAAGUAGGUCAAGAGAUUGAUGCAGUAAGUGUUGCUUAUGGAGACGAAUCCCUGCCUCGUCUUUACGAGAAUUCACAGAUUUCUUCAGAUCAGCUAACUGCGCAACCAGGCAUUGUUAAGCGUGCUGUGGCUCUUGGUCGUUACCUUCAAAAUCCUUUGGCCAUGAUUGCUACACUAUGUGGGCCAGGGAGGGAGAUAUUGUCAUGGAAGCUCAAUACUUUAGAGCACUUCCUUACCCCUGAUGAGAAGUAUGGGGUGGUUGAACAUGUAAUGAUAGAUGCCACCAACCAAGUAGGUGUUGACAUUAAUUUGGCUGCAAGCCAUGAAUGGCUGUUUUCUCCUUUACAAUUUGUUUCGGGGCUUGGACCCCGAAAGGCAUCUGCUUUACAGAAAGCGCUGGCAAGAGCUGGGGUCGUUUUCAGUCGAAAAGAGAUUCCGAUGAACGGAGUUCUUAAGAAGAAGGUGUUCAUUAAUGCCGUUGGUUUUUUGCGUGUCCGUCGGACUGGGCUGGCAAAUGCAAGCAGUCAUUUUAUGGACUUGUUGGAUGAUACAAGAAUUCAUCCAGAGUCAUAUGACCUUGCAAAGAAUAUGGCCAAGGUUGUCUAUGAUGAAGAUGUUCAAGAGGAUCCAAAUGAGAUGGAUGAUGAAGCUCAGGAGAUGGCAAUCGACCAUGUCAUGCGUAACCCGAGGCUGCUGAAAGUUCUUGAUAUCGGUGAAUAUGCUAACAGCGUUGAGGAGCGGCUAGGGACGAGAAAAAGAGAGACGUUAAUGGACAUAAAGAUGGAGUUGUUGCAUGGAUUUCAAGACUGGCGUACUCCUUACACUGAACCUAGUCAGGACGAGGAGUUCUAUAUGCUUUCUGGUGAAACUGAGGAAACCCUUGAAGAAGGAAGAACUGUUCAGGUGAUGGUUCGCAGGGUUACACCUCAACGUGCAACUUGCGGGCUCGACUCUGGCUUGACGGGUGUGAUUUUGAGGGAUGAACUUUCGGAAGAUGGGAAUGUCGAUCCAAUGGACAGCAUAAGUGAAGGAAGCAUACUUACCUGCAAGAUUAAAGGAGUCCAAAAGAAUAGAUUGCAGGUGAUUCUAACCUGUAGAGGAGAUGAUCUAAUUAUUAAACGGUUAAGGAAGAUCCAGGAUUUGGAAUCGUUCUAUCGUGAACCAAAGGGCAAUUCACAGAGUGACCAAGAUACAGCUCGCAAGGAGAAGGAGCUUGCAAAGAAGCAUUUCAAGCCAAGGAUGAUUGCUCAUCGCAAUUUUAAAAAUUGGACCACUGAUGAAGCAGUGCAGUUCCUUUCUGACAAGGAUGCUGGUGAAAGCAUUAUUCGUCCAAGUUCCAGAGGGCCAUCAUAUUUGACUCUAACUCUGAAAAUCUAUGAUGGAGUUUAUGCUCACAAAGACAUAGUUGAGGGUGGAAAAGAUCACAAGGACAUUACAAGCUUGCUUCGUCUUGGGAAGACAUUAAAAAUAGACGAUGAAACGUUUGAGGAUCUUGAUGAGGUCGUGGAUCGAUAUGUUGAUCCACUUGUAACCAACCUGAAGGUCAUGCUUCAAUACCGCAAAUUCAAGAAGGGCACGAAAGCGGAAGUCGACGAUCUUUUAAGGAUGGAGAAGUCAGAGUAUCCGAUGAGGAUAGUUUACUGUUUUGGAAUUUCUCAUGAGCAUCCAGGAACCAUUAUUCUGUCAUAUAUACGGAGCACAAAUCCACAUCACGAGUAUAUUGGUCUGUAUCCUAAGGGCUUCAAGUUCCGGAAGCGGAUGUUUGAAAGCAUUGACCGGCUUGUGGCGUAUUUCCAGAAGCAUAUUGAUGAUCUGCAGCAUGAAUCAAUGCCAUCAAUCCGAUCAGUGGCUGCGAUGGUGCCAAUGAAAAGCCCUAUGACUGGGGGUUCCUCUGGCGGGGGAUCUGUAGGCAGUGGUUGGGGCGGUUCCACAGCCAAUAGCAGUGAUGGGGGUUGGAGAGGUUCGGACAGGGACCGAUCUUCUACACCAGGUUCGAGAACAGGUAGAAAUGAUUACAGGAAUAGUGGUGGUCGUGGCGGACACCCGAGCGGGCUGCCUAGACCAUAUGGGCGUGGCCGGGGGCGUGGGUCAUACCACCAUGGAAGAGGAAACCACCACAGUGGCAGCGAGGGACAUGAUUCUGGUUAUGGUUCUUCUUCCAAAUGGGGCUCAGGUGCAAAGGAAGACGACAAUGAGCUGAGCAGCUUCCCGGGUGCCAAAGUCCAGAAUUCACCUGGUAGAGAGGCUUUUCCUGGGGGUUGGGGCAAUAGCGGUAGUGGCGGCGGUGACAACUGGGGCAAUGGUGGAAAUGAUGGUGGCAGCAAUUGGGGCAAUGACGGUAGCAGUGGUUGGGGCAGCAGAGGAGGCAGUGGAGGAGGCAGUGGCAGGGGUGGCAGCGGCGGUUGGAGUGGUGGCAACAGCGGUGGCGGAGAUGGAUGGGGGGGUGGGGAUGGUGGCAGCGGCACUGGUGGUAAUUCUAGUUGGGAUGCUUCUAAAAGAGCAGGUCCCUCACGGCAGGAGAGUGGCAAUGAUGAGGGUUGGAACCGGCGCAGGGCAGGCAGCAGAACAUAGUGAUCUCAUCUCCUUGUGCCAUCCUAAAUAGAGAUGUUUUGAUGACUAGCUAUAAAACCAUGAUAUUUUCAUAAAAAGUUGGUAUUGGAUCACCCUUUUUUUCGUUCGAGGGCUGAUGUAACAGAAACCCCUUGUUAAUGUAUAGUGGUUUAUGAAUGAGAAAUGCUGGUACCAUGGAGCUUCUGUACUCAUCAUAUACCUCGCAAAAAUCAGCGAUGAUAGUGACUUGAUCUGGUGUGGCCGUCUCGUCAUAAUCCAAAACUUGCUAACCUACCCAUAUGCUGGCUAGCAAUUGGGUGGCUAUCAGUGUCCGAUGCCCUUCCUUUCAAGUGGUGGCCUACCACAUCAGCAGUCCUGAUCACACCAUGUUUUCGAUAGGGGAGAGGAAGAGGAUGUUGAGGGGGCAGGGCAUUUGUACC
Molecule: RNA transcript, 5623 nt
Organism: Magnolia sinica
Lineage: Eukaryota; Viridiplantae; Streptophyta; Magnoliopsida; Magnoliales; Magnoliaceae
Gene name: transcription elongation factor SPT6 homolog
Exons: 19
Source: RefSeq, a predicted model, not a curated record